AGGGAGAUGAUGAGCAGUGUCAGCAGAAACACCAGCAGGCCGAGGAAGAGCCAGACGUAGACGUAGACAUUGCCAGUACGCCCUGGUGAGGAUGCGGCGGCAGAGGUGGAGGAGGACGUCGGGGAGAAACCUAAUCUACUUGAAAAGGCCAGGCCGUGCUGCCCCACUGAGGCUGAAGAGGUCAGACGUACGCAUCCACUCCCACGGCCACCUACGGAUCAUAAAUACCAUUUCUUCAAGGAGAGCUCUGAAAAAUGUCUCUUGGACGUGUUUCAAUUAUGUAGAGGUGAAUAAUUAAUCAAAACAACAUUGGAAAUGCAACCGAGUCUUGCGGGGACAAUAUCCAAAUCCCACUGUCUGCAAUUAUCAGGAUGAAGAAUUGUUAAAAGACCUGUUCUCAGCGACCUGCCUCUUCCAUCUCUUGUUGAUGUGAUAGACCUCUCUGUCUGAUCUGUUGUUGAUUCAAUUGUAAGAAAUCACAGUCUUUGCCAGGUCAUUACAGACAAUGCUGACGAACAACUGUUUGUUUUUGCCGUCUCCUGAACGUGCCUUAUGGCUCUGCUGUAUAUUAUUGUACAGUCCACAUUCUAGUCUCAUUAAAAAGUCAUAUUGAACCAAUGAAAAUAAUGCAAUUGUCUAGUGUACCAGGGGAUUUAGACCACAGAGAACCCUGAAGCAAAUGGCAAUUAGCAACAUUAGAGUUUUUUUUGGGCUGCGCUGCUUUUCUUUACUCCCUCGUCAGCCGUGGUGAGUUAUCAUUAUCAUGUUGAAAAGGAGAAACUGAUGAAAGCAAUAAUACAAUUUUGGUAAGUAAAUCUGUCCUUUUGAAGUUUUUUUUUUUAGCAAGUUUUAUAUUUAAGGAAGCAGAUUUAAUUAAAAAUAAUGGAAUUCCACACACAUCACUGAAACUAAAAUUACUUUCCAUAUUUAUUUCAUUCUUCAGCCAUAAUCACAUUCAGGAUCAUGGAGGGAGCAGGAGCCAAUCCCAGCAAUCAUCAGUCAAGGGCGGUGAACCCAUUCCCGACCACUGUACCGUGGCACUAUGCCAUCAGAGAUCAACAGGUGAGCUGUGUUAAUGACCCUGUUACACAUAAUUAGUAUGAAAGCUAUUAUUUAGUUACUGCAAAUAAUUUGUCCUUGUUUGUCAGUGUGACAGUGAUCAAUAAUCAAAUACGUUUCCAUAAGAGGGCAGCAUAGACUUAGCUGUUGAUGUAGCUCUAUCAGUGCCUCUUCCUUCAAUUCCUGUGUGUAGAUUAUGGUUGUAUUUAAUUAAACAGGUCAGUGUUUAAUACUGAAAAAAAAUAAUUGUCAGUAGCCACUAAAAGAUAAUUACAUUUUAUUACCUAUAAUUUUGAGAACUCAUUGUUUGAUGGGAAGGUGUGUGAUUUGCAUCGCUAAAAGUGCUGUAGUGUAACUAAACGUGAAGACUAACAAAAGAUUACAAUCCUCCUGUGAAACAUUUUCAUUUUUGGUUCUAUUGCUCCAAAUAAAGAAGCAUCAUUUGGCUAAAUUGAGCUUUUCUAGAGAUUUUCAUAUUGUCUUGUCUACAAUAUGUAACUAAUUAUGGUGGGAGUUGGGGUGUGGGGGUCACUCUGGUUUAAUUUUGAUUUAAAAAUCAAUGCCUUAUUCUGACUGUCUGACUCGCCAUCAAGAACUUGUUAGCACGCUAAUGCUAAUCAUGAAAAGUGUUAAUUGUGUAGCAGACGACACCUGUCUCUGCUCUGUGAAGUGGAACAGCCUCACCCCACACCUCCCCUCCUGCAGAUGCCUCUCUCCUUUUGCCAUCUGCCCUGAAACCAGCGGGGUAUUUUCAGCAGUGGAACACAGUGGGUUGAGAUGGUGACGAUGUGGUGCUGUUAUUUUACAUCAUGAAUGCAGUGGCCACUUACUCACAUCAUCACUGCCUUUUUAAGAUAGCAAUGUAAAGAGGGCUGGGGUUUAUUUGACGAGUUGGAACGUGUUUGUGGAUUUUCUUCUUAAUCUGAGGAAAAGAUAUGGAUUAAUAUUUUAGUGAGACACAGCUGGAUGUUUUACUGAUGCUGUUUUUGGAGGAACGGGGGACAGAGAGAAGAAAUACAUCAAGUCAGUCCACACUUCAAGAUUAUUUCCUACCCUGUGAUGUGCAACUGGCACAGCCUCGCUCUCUCUCUCUUUCUUGCACACACACACACACACACACACACACACAAAGAGAGAGUUCCUUAUUCUGCUAAAGAGGGAAAUAUAUUUAGCAAAACUAAUUAAAGCCUUAUGAGCACACGUGCUUGUGUCUGUGUAGACUCAAGUGCCCUUGUGUGCUUUUCUGCCGCCCGUGUAUGUGUGUGUAUGCAAACGAGGACUGCAGCGUGGAGAUAAGAGCUGUGGCCUCGACUGGCAUUUGUCACUAAUCCCAGAAGGCGAAGAAGUGGCGGCCGAUUCCUCGUCAUUCCCUGAUAUUCCAGCCCAUUCUGACUCGGUGCCAUUUAGCUGUGCCCUUGUAAGGACACCAGUCUGCAGUCAGUGCUGCAUGUUAAUGAAGCAGCAGAGACCUGCUGUAAAGACAGGGCGGGUGCAGCUGGAGUUUUCAAGUACUUUGGGGAAAGUCUGAAUGGAGUGGAUUUUACUUUUUAUUUUUUAUCUAAAAAGGCUGUGAGGAAAUAAGUAAAUGUUACGUUGAAAGCUGGUAGCAUUGGGAUGUUGAUAAAAAUUUCCUUUUAUUUCGGAUUUCUGAAUGUACGUUGUAUGCCUGGAAUUAACUUGCAGAGUCUAAUUGUAAGAGAAAAUCGCUUAAAGUUGCCCACUGCUCACUUUGGUGAUGGGUAAAAUGCAAAGGUCACAUUUUGUUGUGUGUUUCACAAUGACAACUAGUUCAAUUUCCUUUCCUAACCAAAGGAACUGCAAAACAAAGCAGACUAAAGUCCGCCAUCUGGCGGUUGAAGAUGAUGUUGUAUCGUGUCAGUGUUUGACAUUUAAACUGAAUAUGUAUGUAAAUCACUGUGCA
Molecule: long non-coding RNA, 2980 nt
Organism: Cynoglossus semilaevis (tongue sole)
Lineage: Eukaryota; Metazoa; Chordata; Actinopteri; Pleuronectiformes; Cynoglossidae
Exons: 5
Source: RefSeq, a predicted model, not a curated record